Molecule: ribosomal RNA, 466 nt
Filed under: uncultured bacterium
Lineage: Bacteria
Description: partial 16S ribosomal RNA
Rfam family: Bacterial small subunit ribosomal RNA
Source: RNAcentral
GACGAACGCUGGCGGCGUGCUUAACACAUGCAAGUCGAACGGAAAGGCCCUGCUUUUGUGGGGUGCUCGAGUGGCGAACGGGUGAGUAACACGUGAGUAACCUGCCCUUGACUUUGGGAUAACUUCAGGAAACUGGGGCUAAUACCGGAUAGGAGCUCCUGCUGCAUGGUGGGGGUUGGAAAGUUUCGGCGGUUGGGGAUGGACUCGCGGCUUAUCAGCUUGUUGGUGGGGUAGUGGCUUACCAAGGCUUUGACGGGUAGCCGGCCUGAGAGGGUGACCGGCCACAUGGGGACUGAGAGACGGCCCAGCCUCCUACGGGAGGCAGCAGGGGGGAAUAUUGCACAAUGGGCGGAAGCCUGAUGCAGCAACGCCGCGUGCGGGAUGACGGCCUUCGGGUUGUAAACCGCUUUCGCCUGUGACGAAGCGUGAGUGACGGGAAUGGGUAAAGAAGCACCGGCUAACUACG